GCCGUGAAGUUGGGGAUAACUCGCUGAAAGGCGAGCUAAUACCGAAUGUGAAAAUUGAAAGGCAUCUUUUGAUUUUUAAAGUUGGGGAUCGUAAGACCUGACGCUUCAUGAUGAACCCGCGGCCUAUCAGCUAGUUGGUGAGGUAACGGCUCACCAAGGCUAGGACGGGUAGCUGGUCUGAGAGGACGACCAGCCACACUGGAACUGAGACACGGUCCAGACACCUACGGGUGGCAGCAGUCGAGAAUUUUUCUCAAUGGGGGAAACCCUGAAGGAGCGACGCCGCGUGGGGGAUGAAUGGCUUCGGCCCGUAAACCCCUGUCAUUUGCGAACAAGUUGUUUCACCUAACACGUGAAACAUUGAUAGUAGCGGAAGAGGAAGGGACGGCUAACUCUGUGCCAGCAGCCGCGGUAAUACAGAGGUCCCAAGCGUUGUUCGGAUUCACUGGGCGUAAAGGGUGCGUAGGUGGUAAGGUAAGUCGAAUGUGAAAUCUCCAGGCUUAACCUGGAAAUGGCAUCGGAAACUGCCUUGCUCGAGGUUUGGAGGGGGGGCUGGAAUACUUGGUGUAGCAGUGAAAUGCGUAGAUAUCAAGUGGAACACCAGUGGCGAAGGCGAGUCCCUGGACAAAACCUGACACUGAGGCACGAAAGCUAGGGGAGCAAACAGGAUUAGAUACCCUGGUAGUCC
This 688-nucleotide ribosomal RNA is filed under the name uncultured bacterium. Its description in RNAcentral is "bacterial SSU rRNA". It matches the Rfam family "Bacterial small subunit ribosomal RNA", at positions 128 to 796 of the family's 1533-position model. The record is from RNAcentral.